CAAGUCGAGGGGCAACGGGGAUGUUAGCUUGCUAAUAUCUGCCGGCGACCGGCGCACGGGUGAGUAACGCGUAUGCGACCUGCCCGUCACAGGGGGAUAAUCCGGAGAAAUCCGGUCUAAUACCGCAUAAUAUCGUGAAGCUGCAUGGUUUUGCGAUUAAAGGAGCGAUCCGGUGACGGAUGGGCAUGCGUGACAUUAGCUAGUCGGCGGGGUAACGGCCCCCGAGGCGACGAUGUAUAGGGGUUCUGAGAGGAAGGUCCCCCACACUGGUACUGAGACACGGACCAGACUCCUACGGGAGGCAGCAGUGAGGAAUAUUGGUCAAUGGGCUUACGCCUGAACCAGCCAAGUCGCGUGAGGGAAGACUGCCCUAUGGGUUGUAAACCUCUUUUGUCAGGGAGCAACGCCGGCUACGUGUAGCCGGACUGAGAGUACCCGAAGAAAAAGCAUCGGCUAACCCCGUGCCAGCAGCCGCGGUAAUACGGAGGAUGCGAGCGUUAUCCGGAUUUAUUGGGUUUAAAGGGUGCGCAGGCGGAAGAUCAAGUCAGCGGUAAAAUUGAGAGGCUCAACCUCUUCGAGCCGUUGAAACUGGUUUUCUUGAGUGAGCGAGAAGUAUGCGGAAUGCGUGGUGUAGCGGUGAAAUGCAUAGAUAUCACGCAGAACUCCGAUUGCGAAGGCAGCAUACCGGCGCUCAACUGACGCUCAUGCACGAAAGUGUGGGUAUCGAACAGGAUUAGAUACCCUGGUAGUCCACACAGUAAACGAUGAAUACUAAUUGUUCGGGGAGAAUGAUCCCUGAGUGAUACAGCGAAAGCGUUAAGUA
RNAcentral lists this ribosomal RNA (823 nucleotides) under uncultured bacterium. RNAcentral describes it as "bacterial SSU rRNA". It matches the Rfam family "Bacterial small subunit ribosomal RNA", at positions 58 to 866 of the family's 1533-position model. The record is from RNAcentral.